UGCUAGCUCCUCCGAUGUGACAGUGAUUGU
Molecule: non-coding RNA, 30 nt
Filed under: Homo sapiens (human)
Lineage: Eukaryota; Metazoa; Chordata; Mammalia; Primates; Hominidae
Source: RNAcentral